This 73-nucleotide transfer RNA is filed under the name Deltaproteobacteria bacterium. RNAcentral's name for it is "tRNA-Cys". It matches the Rfam family "tRNA". From Rfam's summary of the family: Transfer RNA (tRNA) molecules are approximately 80 nucleotides in length. Their secondary structure includes four short double-helical elements and three loops (D, anti-codon, and T loops). Further hydrogen bonds mediate the characteristic L-shaped molecular structure. tRNAs have two regions of fundamental functional importance: the anti-codon, which is responsible for specific mRNA codon recognition, and the 3' end, to which the tRNAs corresponding amino acid is attached (by aminoacyl-tRNA synthetases). tRNAs cope with the degeneracy of the genetic code in two manners: having more than one tRNA (with a specific anti-codon) for a particular amino acid; and 'wobble' base-pairing, i.e. permitting non-standard base-pairing at the 3rd anti-codon position. Lineage: Bacteria; Pseudomonadati; Myxococcota; Myxococcia. The record is from RNAcentral.
GGCGACGUACCCAAGUGGUUAAGGGGCGGGUUUGCAAAACCUGUAUUCACCGGUUCAAAUCCGGUCGUCGCCU